Molecule: non-coding RNA, 61 nt
Organism: Pristionchus pacificus
Lineage: Eukaryota; Metazoa; Nematoda; Chromadorea; Rhabditida; Neodiplogasteridae
Source: Rfam
UCUUCAUUUCGCACACUCUCUCGCCUCUCUGACCGGUGAGAGAGUGUGUGAAAUGAAGAGA